AUGAACGCUGGCGGCGUGCCUAAUCCAUGCCAGUCGAGCGAACAGACGAGGAGCUUGCUCCUCUGACGUUAGCGGCGGACGGGUGAGUAACACGUGGAUAACCUACCUAUAAGACUGGGAUAACUUCGGGAAACCGGAGCUAAUACCGGAUAAUAUAUUGAACCGCAUGGUUCAAUAGUGAAAGACGGUUUUGCUGUCACUUAUAGAUGGAUCCGCGCCGCAUUAGCUAGUUGGUAAGGUAACGGCUUACCAAGGCAACGAUGCGUAGCCGACCUGAGAGGGUGAUCGGCCACACUGGAACUGAGACACGGUCCAGACUCCUACGGGAGGCAGCAGUAGGGAAUCUUCCGCAAUGGGCGAAAGCCUGACGGAGCAACGCCGCGUGAGUGAUGAAGGUCUUCGGAUCGUAAAACUCUGUUAUUAGGGAAGAACAAAUGUGUAAGUAACUAUGCACGUCUGGACGGUACCUAAGCAGAAAGCCACGGCUAACUACGU
This 495-nucleotide ribosomal RNA is filed under the name uncultured bacterium. RNAcentral's name for it is "partial 16S ribosomal RNA". It matches the Rfam family "Bacterial small subunit ribosomal RNA", at positions 29 to 506 of the family's 1533-position model. The record is from RNAcentral.